GGGAUUGUAGCUCAGGGGUGGAGCACUUGCCUUGCAAGCAUGAGGCCUUGGGUUCAAUCCCA
This 62-nucleotide transfer RNA is filed under the name Ictidomys tridecemlineatus (thirteen-lined ground squirrel). RNAcentral describes it as "Spermophilus tridecemlineatus (thirteen-lined ground squirrel) tRNA". It matches the Rfam family "tRNA", at positions 1 to 62 of the family's 71-position model. Rfam says of the family: Transfer RNA (tRNA) molecules are approximately 80 nucleotides in length. Their secondary structure includes four short double-helical elements and three loops (D, anti-codon, and T loops). The record is from Rfam by way of RNAcentral. Lineage: Eukaryota; Metazoa; Chordata; Mammalia; Rodentia; Sciuridae.